RNAcentral lists this ribosomal RNA (227 nucleotides) under uncultured bacterium. RNAcentral describes it as "partial 16S ribosomal RNA". It matches the Rfam family "Bacterial small subunit ribosomal RNA", at positions 109 to 334 of the family's 1533-position model. The record is from RNAcentral.
AGUAACGCGUGAGGAACCUGCCUCAAAGAGGGGGACAACGGUUGGAAACGACUGCUAAUACCGCAUAAGCCCACAGCUCGGCAUCGAGCAGAGGGAAAAGGAGUGAUCCGCUUUGAGAUGGCCUCGCGUCCGAUUAGCUAGUUGGUGAGGUAAUGGCCCACCAAGGCGACGAUCGGUAGCCGGACUGAGAGGUUGAACGGCCACAUUGGGACUGAGACACGGCCCAG